RNAcentral lists this ribosomal RNA (497 nucleotides) under uncultured bacterium. Its description in RNAcentral is "partial 16S ribosomal RNA". It matches the Rfam family "Bacterial small subunit ribosomal RNA", at positions 28 to 507 of the family's 1533-position model. The record is from RNAcentral.
GAUGAACGCUGGCGGCGUGCCUAAUACAUGCAAGUCGAGCGAACAGACGAGGAGCUUGCUCCUUUGACGUUAGCGGCGGACGGGUGAGUAACACGUAGGUAACCUACCUAUAAGACUGGGAUAACUUCGGGAAACCGGAGCUAAUACCGGAUAAUAUUACGAACCGCAUGGUUCGAUAGUGAAAGAUGGCUUUGCUGUCACUUAUAGAUGGACCCGCGCCGUAUUAGCUAGUUGGUAAGGUAACGGCUUACCAAGGCAACGAUACGUAGCCGACCUGAGAGGGUGAUCGGCCACACUGGAACUGAGACACGGUCCAGACUCCUACGGGAGGCAGCAGUAGGGAAUCUUCCGCAAAGGGCGAAAGCCUGACGGAGCAACGCCGCGUGAGUGAUGAAGGUCUUCGGAUCGUAAAACUCUGUUAUUAGGGAAGAACAAACGUGUAAGUAACUGUGCACGUCUUGACGGUACCUAAUCAGAAAGCCACGGCUAACUACGUG